GACGAACGCUGGCGGCGUGCUUAACACAUGCAAGUCGAACGGAAAGGCCCUGCUUUUGUGGGGUGCUCGAGUGGCGAACGGGAGAGUAACACGUGAGUAACCUGCCCUUGACAUUGGGAUAACUUCAGGAAACUGGGGCUAAUACCGGAUAGGAGCUCCUGCUGCAUGGUGGGGGUUGGAAAGUUUCGGCGGUUGGGGAUGGACUCGCGGCUUAUCAGCUUGUUGGUGGGGUAGUGGCUUACCAAGGCUUUGACGGGUAGCCGGCCUGAGAGGGUGACCGGCCACAUUGGGACUGAGAUACGGCCCAGACUCCUACGGGAGGCAGCAGUGGGGAAUAUUGCACAAUGGGCGGAAGCCUGAUGCAGCAACGCCGCGUGCGGGAUGACGGCCUUCGGGUUGUAAACCGCUUUCGCCUGUGACGAAGCGUGAGUGACGGUAAUGGGUAAAGAAGCACCGGCUAACUACGUG
Molecule: ribosomal RNA, 468 nt
Filed under: uncultured bacterium
Lineage: Bacteria
Description: partial 16S ribosomal RNA
Rfam family: Bacterial small subunit ribosomal RNA
Source: RNAcentral